GGAAUAUUGGACAAUGGGCGCAAGCCUGAUCCAGCCAUGCCGCGUGCAGGAUGACGGUCCUAUGGAUUGUAAACUGCUUUUAUACGAGAAGAAACAUCCCGACGUGUCGGGACUUGACGGUAUCGUAAGAAUAAGGAUCGGCUAACUCCGUGCCAGCAGCCGCGGUAAUACGGAGGAUCCAAGCGUUAUCCGGAAUCAUUGGGUUUAAAGGGUCCGUAGGCGGUUUAAUAAGUCAGUGGUGAAAGCCCAUCGCUCAACGGUGGAACGGCCAUUGAUACUGUUAGACUUGAAUUAUUAGGAAGUAACUAGAAUAUGUAGUGUAGCGGUGAAAUGCUUAGAGAUUACAUGGAAUACCAAUUGCGAAGGCAGGUUACUACUAAUUGAUUGACGCUGAUGGACGAAAGCGUGGGUAGCGAACAGGAUUAGAUACCCCAG
This 435-nucleotide ribosomal RNA is filed under the name uncultured Flavobacterium sp. RNAcentral describes it as "bacterial SSU rRNA". It matches the Rfam family "Bacterial small subunit ribosomal RNA", at positions 358 to 790 of the family's 1533-position model. The record is from RNAcentral. Lineage: Bacteria; Pseudomonadati; Bacteroidota; Flavobacteriia; Flavobacteriales; Flavobacteriaceae.